UGACCUCAAAUCAGGUAGGAUUACCCGCUGAACUUAAGCAUAUCAAUAAGCGGAGGAAAAGAAACCAACAGGGAUUGCCUCAGUAACGGCGAGUGAAGCGGCAAAAGCUCAAAUUUGAAAUCUAGUACCUUCGGUGCUCGAGUUGUAAUUUGAAGGUAGUUUUCUGGUGCUGGCCCUUGUCUAUGUUCCUUGGAACAGGACGUCAUAGAGGGUGAGAAUCCCGUCUGAUGGGUGUCCAGUGCU
RNAcentral lists this non-coding RNA (243 nucleotides) under Petasospora fabianii. RNAcentral's name for it is "Cyberlindnera fabianii Eukaryotic large subunit ribosomal RNA". It matches the Rfam family "Eukaryotic large subunit ribosomal RNA", at positions 1 to 243 of the family's 3401-position model. Lineage: Eukaryota; Fungi; Ascomycota; Saccharomycetes; Phaffomycetales; Wickerhamomycetaceae. The record is from Rfam by way of RNAcentral.